RNAcentral lists this ribosomal RNA (161 nucleotides) under Hebanthe grandiflora. RNAcentral describes it as "5.8S ribosomal RNA". It matches the Rfam family "5.8S ribosomal RNA". From Rfam's summary of the family: 5.8S ribosomal RNA (5.8S rRNA) is a component of the large subunit of the eukaryotic ribosome. It is transcribed by RNA polymerase I as part of the 45S precursor that also contains 18S and 28S rRNA. The record is from RNAcentral. RNAcentral also lists the same sequence under 1 other name. Lineage: Eukaryota; Viridiplantae; Streptophyta; Magnoliopsida; Caryophyllales; Amaranthaceae.
AAACGACUCUCGGCAACGGAUAUCUCGGCUCUCGCAUCGAUGAAGAACGUAGCAAAAUGCGAUACUUGGUGUGAAUUGCAGAAUCCCGUGAACCAUCGAGUUUUUGAACGCAAGUUGCGCCCGAAGCCUUUGGCCAGGGCACGUCUGCCUGGGCGUCACGC